This 582-nucleotide ribosomal RNA is filed under the name Trichoderma sp. RNAcentral's name for it is "eukaryotic LSU rRNA". The stretch from base 218 to 371 matches the Rfam family "5.8S ribosomal RNA". The record is from RNAcentral. Lineage: Eukaryota; Fungi; Ascomycota; Sordariomycetes; Hypocreales; Hypocreaceae.
AGCGGAGGGAUCAUUACCGAGUUUACAACUCCCAAACCCAAUGUGAACGUUACCAAACUGUUGCCUCGGCGGGAUCUCUGCCCCGGGUGCGUCGCAGCCCCGGACCAAGGCGCCCGCCGGAGGACCAACCAAAACUCUUAUUGUAUACCCCCUCGCGGGUUUUUUUAUAAUCUGAGCCUUCUCGGCGCCUCUCGUAGGCGUUUCGAAAAUGAAUCAAAACUUUCAACAACGGAUCUCUUGGUUCUGGCAUCGAUGAAGAACGCAGCGAAAUGCGAUAAGUAAUGUGAAUUGCAGAAUUCAGUGAAUCAUCGAAUCUUUGAACGCACAUUGCGCCCGCCAGUAUUCUGGCGGGCAUGCCUGUCCGAGCGUCAUUUCAACCCUCGAACCCCUCCGGGGGGUCGGCGUUGGGGAUCGGCCCUGCCUUUGGCGGUGGCCGUCUCCGAAAUACAGUGGCGGUCUCGCCGCAGCCUCUCCUGCGCAGUAGUUUGCACACUCGCAUCGGGAGCGCGGCGCGUCCACAGCCGUUAAACACCCAACUUCUGAAAUGUUGACCUCGGAUCAGGUAGGAAUACCCGCUGAACU